Paramormyrops kingsleyae is the source of this 773-nucleotide non-coding RNA. NCBI's taxonomy places the organism in Eukaryota, Metazoa, Chordata, Actinopteri, Osteoglossiformes, Mormyridae. The record is from RefSeq and is a predicted model, not a curated record.
GCAACAUCUUUAGAACUAACGAUUUCUCUCUCCAAAGUCAGUAUCUCCGGGUUUUGUCUGCCUUCUUGUUCAGUUCUCAAGCCUCAGGUGCCAGUACUCUCAGCAGAUAUUGUGAGGUGCCGGUACUCUGAAGAGACAAACAAAGAGGUGCUGGUACUGCAUACCUGGUGAAAUAUGGCACAUAGUUAUGAGUCCAAAUGACCAGUGGACGUCUCUGCCUGUGACUGCAAACUGCCUGUUGUCAGACUGCGAUACACAGGAACUGGUUUCUUUACAGCCAUAAACAUCUAAGCAAUGGCUCACCAAGAGGUCUGGCUACAGCAUUUCGGCAUUUGAUGCAUUUUGUCCAUAAAUACCAGACACUGAAAGGCAGGAAAGCUUAAGUUGAGUAACGAUUUUCAGCUGAAGGUUGCUGAAAAUAGCAGACAAAAAGCUCCCUCUCCGCAGAGCUCUUCCCCAGGCUACUUCCAUACCGUACCGCCCUACAACAAAUGUUACAGAUGGGCUGUAACAGAAUAACUUAAUCUAAAAUAUGUAUAAUUAUAUUGGAUGGUGCCUUAACAUGAUGUUUGCAGUCUGUUUUGAUUUUGACCCUAUUGUUUUAAUGUGCUCUAUUGGAUCUUAAAUUUAAACUCUUUAUAUUGGACAGGUCUCUCUUUAAAAGAUUUUUUUUAAAUCAGUGAGACUAACACACACACACACACACACAUGUGCUUGUUAUAGUAAUAGAAAAUCAUAGCAGGUGUCUUCAGCAGCCACAUAAGACUGUGAGC